This 484-nucleotide ribosomal RNA is filed under the name uncultured bacterium. Its description in RNAcentral is "partial 16S ribosomal RNA". It matches the Rfam family "Bacterial small subunit ribosomal RNA", at positions 30 to 507 of the family's 1533-position model. The record is from RNAcentral.
AUUGAACGCUAGCGGCAUGCUUUACACAUGCAAGUCGAACGGCAGCGCGGACUUCGUGCUGGCGGCGAGUGGCGAACGGGUGAGUAAUGUAUCUGAACGUGCCCAGUAGCGGGGGAUAACUACUCGAAAGCGUAGCUAAUACCGCAUACGCCCUACUGGUGAAAGCAGGGGAUCGUAAGACCUUGCACUAUUUGAGCGGCCGAUAUCGGAUUAGCUAGUUGGUGAGGUAACGGCUCACUAAGGCGACGAUCCGUAGCUGGUUUGAGAGGGCGAGCAGCCACACUGGGACUGAGACACGGCCCAGACUCCUACGGGAGGCAGCAGUGGGGAAUUUUGGACAAUGGGGGCAAACCUGAUACAGCCAGCCCGCGUGUGAGAUGAAGGCCUUCGGGUUGUAAAGCACUUUUGGCAGGAAAGAAACGCCGCGGGCUAAUACCACGCGGAACUGACGGUACCUGCAGAAUAAGCACCGGCUAACUACGUG